AUCUGUGUACAGUGGCAAUAUUACAGCUCAUGAAGUUUAUCUGAGGCACAAUUACUGUUGAUUGAAAUUUUUAGAACAAUGAUUUUUCCCAUAAAAUGUUAAUUAUUUCUAUUAUAUAAUUAUA
Molecule: small nuclear RNA, 124 nt
Organism: Bos grunniens (domestic yak)
Lineage: Eukaryota; Metazoa; Chordata; Mammalia; Artiodactyla; Bovidae
Gene: U4
Rfam family: U4 spliceosomal RNA
About the family: U4 small nuclear RNA (U4 snRNA) is a component of the major U2-dependent spliceosome. The structure of U4 snRNA from yeast and human has been reported. U4 snRNA presents a k-turn RNA motif in the 5p-SL related to recognition of Snu13 protein.
Source: Ensembl